RNAcentral lists this unclassified non-coding RNA (2025 nucleotides) under Potato rugose stunting virus. RNAcentral describes it as "polyprotein". The record is from RNAcentral. Lineage: Riboviria; Orthornavirae; Pisuviricota; Pisoniviricetes; Picornavirales; Secoviridae.
UGGUUCCUUGCUCUGUUAUGGCCAUUUGGAAGCAGGAGAUCUCAGCAAGAGCGGGAUCUUACAACUCGCAAGAGGUGCACACAUGGUUUGUUAAGAAGUUGGCUAUGCCUGAAUUUCUUAGGGAUAAACAACAAGCUGCCCAGCUACUGAGCACAGUGUACGGUGCCGGGAAUUCAUCGCGCUCAGCAGGAGCAAAUUCACUAGUUGCUUCCACCAUGAAAGUGGCCUCACUGGAUGCCAAUCCUACUUUGGAAAAGAGCACAUCGCUGCACCCAAGUCUCCGCUACUUGCCCGCCCAGGUACCCAUGGAUUCUCUUACGGAAACACCAAGGGAGAAAGAAGAGACUCAAGAGAAGCCAGAACUGGACUUAAAGUCGGUAAUGGCCGAAUCUGCCAUUAGACGCCAUCAAGGGAUAACGCAACUGGAAGAUCAGAUGGCAAGUCUUUUUUCCCCAAGGCCACAGGGCCCCUGUUUGACAAAUGUGCCAACCCCAGAGCAAAUGGCCCUCUGUUUCUACGGGCAUGGGCCUUCUCUUWWYUUUGCGGCACUUGUACACUUUGACAAUUAUUUGAGGCAGGUCUAUGCAGGCAUUUUGCCCAUUCCUUUGCACCCUCUUUUUCCCAAGGGUAUCCAGGAGGCACUUGCGAUUGCANNNNNNNNCCUUCUGGAUGUUCUGCGCAAGGUAAUAGUUGUGCAUUUGUACCACAACGUCAACAGAGGUGUUCCAAUUCCUGAAGUCUUUGCCAACCACAAAUCGGUGGCGGAAACACUGGCGCAAAAAGGCACAANNNNNNNNNNNNNNNNNNAGGCCUGGUCAUAUCAAGUGCCGGAUUUAACCCUAGUGCACCCCAUACUAGAUUUUGUUGCCAGCUAUGAAAGGKGGGAGGAGUUAGAAUUUUGCCAGCAGCAUCUUGCCAUGAAACAGGUUGAUUUUGAGAAGAUGAGCCACUUCAGCGCCAGUAGGAUGGUAGAUGUUCGGGAUGGUGACUUCUUCUUCGAANNNNNNNAGGAGGAUUUCUACACCUGGGUGCNNCAAGCCCAUCAGCGAAACCAUCAAAUCGUGGCUCAAGGUCCACCGCAGUCUGGGGCAGUAGAAGAGUACACAGCUCCAAUCCAAGGAGAAGAAUCAUCAGGAGCUGUGGUAGAAGGAAAGUAUGUGUUGAAGCAGAGUCAUGAUGAUGACACCUUCUUUGAGUGUGGAAAUGAUCUACAGGCAUCAGCUAACCCACCUCAGCGUAGCUACCUAUUGGAUGAGCCCUCAGCGUCUAAUGAUAUCUUCGAUUUCACAUCGGAUUCCGUUGUGGAACAGAUGCAACCAGUGGAGCUACAGCAGCCAGCCAUUGUGAGCAGCAAGCAGAAGUUUUUGGCUGAAACUAAAACUUUCUUCUGGAACACCUCAGACUCAGAGGCCACAAACCUGCUCAAAGUGCCUGUUCCAGGCGUGGUUAGCAAGACUUCCAAUCUUAAUGCUGUAGGACCCAACUUGUUGCGUUAUUUUGAUGCAGCUGUUCUCCAAUUUGGGGCCUUUGUCACAGUACCGCGCACUCUAAGCUCGACUGGAGAUCUAAUACUSUUGUGGGAUGAGGGGUCGCUAGUGGAUGCUUAUGGGAAAAAUGUUAAUAAAGCCACCCUGUGUGCUUGCCCUCAUGUCACUGUUUCCGCCCACAGUGCAGAAAGGUGUGGACCCCAGAAGUUCUUGUACUUUGUACCUCUAGGCAUAGGUUCCUUUAUUCCCUUGGAUUUGGGUCAUGCUGGCUCCAAUGUGGGUACCCUAUCUGUGUAUGUGCUGAAUCAGCUCAAAACAAUGAGCACUAUAACACGAUUCACAUGCACAAUCCAGAUCUAUGUCACUGUGUUAUCUUCAAACAUCAUGCAACCUCAGAGAAUGAUAGCCCAGUCUCAGCUUGGUAUGUCCCCGUCCAGGACAACUUUCCCACUGCUCCCCCUGAAACAGUUGCUUGUGUCCACAGAAUGGGACACCACUCAUGAGACAGGUUCUGGCGCUAUGAUGACAUUCUCUCCUG